Molecule: transfer RNA, 74 nt
Filed under: Bifidobacterium pullorum subsp. saeculare
Lineage: Bacteria; Bacillati; Actinomycetota; Actinomycetes; Bifidobacteriales; Bifidobacteriaceae
Description: Bifidobacterium saeculare tRNA
Rfam family: tRNA
About the family: Transfer RNA (tRNA) molecules are approximately 80 nucleotides in length.
Source: Rfam by way of RNAcentral
CGGGCUGUGGCGCAGUUUGGUAGCGCGCCUGCUUUGGGAGCAGGAUGCCGCGGGUUCAAAUCCCGCCAGCCCGA